CGCUCUCCGACUCCAUGUGACACUGAAUGUAAGGUGCAUCCAUAUUCCCAUAAAUUCUCAAAUUUGGUCACUUUUACUUUGGGGAAAAGCCAGAAGUUGCAUGGUUCCAGAUCCAGUGGAGCGGAUGAGGACACUGCCCUGUUUUCAUACGGCUGCCUCGCGGUCGGAUGGCACCAGCAGCAGCAUUCAUCAUAUUUUUUAUCACACCUUGUAAAGACCCAAAAGGCCAGUUCCAGAACUGCUUCAGAAAUUGACGAGAAUGAUGGGAUAAGGGCGCUUGAAGCACAGAGGAGUAUUUUCAGGGGGUGAAUGGCAGUGUGUCUUUUACUGUAACACAUUUUUUAAAUUUAAGCAUGCAUUGCAUAUUUUUAUCACAUCUCCUAAGCAGAGAAAAAUUUAAAUGAGCACUGAAUACAUGCCAGUGUAAUUUUAAUAUAGUAUCUUCAAAUGAAUGUCUUCCAUAAUCUAUUAUAAUUUGUGGUUAAGUCAUUCAAGCACUCUAUAAUUUUAACUGUUUAAUGAUAAUGAAACAACAGGAUUCUUUCAUUUAAUAAAAUUCAGAACUUUAUGUGAAUUUUAGAUGAUGAUUGGUGUUCCCC
This 599-nucleotide long non-coding RNA is filed under the name Fukomys damarensis (Damara mole-rat). RNAcentral describes it as "lncRNA (ENSFDAG00000026498.1)". Lineage: Eukaryota; Metazoa; Chordata; Mammalia; Rodentia; Bathyergidae. The record is from RNAcentral.